AUGCUGGCGCCCGUGCACGUUGAUGGCAUUGUGGCGGAAGGUCUUCUUCCUGGGGAGCCGCGCCCAGCCUCAGUCUCCACCCGCGGCCACGCUAACAAGAUAGAGUAUUUGCGAUGUAUCCUUCACUUACCAUACCACGGGGUUGUUGCGGAUAUUGGUGGAGGACUUGGUGGUCUAGCGCAAAAUGGAAUCCUAGAAAGAAGUGAAACUAAUCAGCUAUGGUCAGUCGGCAGAGGCGCAUGCAGGUUUGUGCUUGAGGGUGCACGCGAGUCGGUGGCUACAGGCAAAGGAGCAAAGGAGGCUUCUGUGGCGCCGGAGCAACAAUUUCGGUGA
This 333-nucleotide ribosomal RNA is filed under the name Triticum aestivum (bread wheat). Its description in RNAcentral is "partial small subunit ribosomal RNA". The record is from RNAcentral. Lineage: Eukaryota; Viridiplantae; Streptophyta; Magnoliopsida; Poales; Poaceae.